AGUGAACGCUGGCGGUAGGCCUAACACAUGCAAGUCGAACGGCAGCACAGAGGAGCUUGCUCCUUGGGUGGCGAGUGGCGGACGGGCGAGGAAUACAUCGGAAUCUACUUUUUCGUGGGGGAUAACGUAGGGAAACUUACGCUAAUACCGCAUACGACCUACGGGUGAAAGCAGGGGACCUUCGGGCCUUGCGCGAUUGAAUGAGCCGAUGUCGGAUUAGCUAGUUGGAGGGGUAAAGGCCCACCAAGGCGACGAUCCGUAGCUGGUCUGAGAGGAUGAUCAGCCACACUGGAACUGAGACACGGUCCAGACUCCUACGGGAGGCAGCAGUGGGGAAUAUUGGACAAUGGGCGCAAGCCUGAUCCAGCCAUACCGCGUGGGUGAAGAAGGCCUUCGGGUUGUAAAGCCCUUUUGUUGGGAAAGAAAUCCAGCCGGCUAAUACCUGGUUGGGAUGACGGUACCCAAAGAAUAAGCACCGGCUAACUUCGUGCCAGCAGCCGCCGUAA
RNAcentral lists this ribosomal RNA (506 nucleotides) under uncultured bacterium. RNAcentral describes it as "partial 16S ribosomal RNA". It matches the Rfam family "Bacterial small subunit ribosomal RNA", at positions 29 to 523 of the family's 1533-position model. The record is from RNAcentral.